This 313-nucleotide long non-coding RNA is filed under the name Elaeis guineensis (African oil palm). RNAcentral's name for it is "long non-coding RNA (EGUI_LNC082635)". The record is from RNAcentral. Lineage: Eukaryota; Viridiplantae; Streptophyta; Magnoliopsida; Arecales; Arecaceae.
AGCAGGAGGCUUCUGGACAGCGGUCGCCAGGCUCUUCAGGGGUUCAGGGGGGUCUCCAAGAGAGAGAGAGCUUUUGUGAGGGAAACUUCAUGUGAGAGAUAAUUGGGUGUACAAGGGUUGAGGGUGAGGUCUCCUCUUGUAAAAUUUUCUUUUCAUAGUGAAGUAUGCAUGCCCCGUGGAGGCGAGCCCUUUUGUGGCUGAUCCACGUAUUUUGAUUGUUUUUCUUUUGUUUUGUUUCUUCUUUCUUCCUGCUGCAUCGCGUGGUACUGAAAGGGUCUUGGGAGAUGGUGUCCUGGCCAGACAUCCACCCAAC